AGAGUUUGAUCAUGGCUCAGGACGAACGCUGGCGGCGUGCUUAACACAUGCAAGUCGAACGGAGGAUUUAUUUCGGUAAAUCCUUAGUGGCGAACGGGUGAGUAACGCGUGGGCAACCUGCCCUUCAGAUGGGGACAACAUCCCGAAAGGGGUGCUAAUACCGAAUACGAUCGUUUUCCCGCAUGGGGAUGCGAUGAAAGAUGGCCUCUAUUUAUAAGCUAUCGCUGAAGGAUGGGCCUGCGUCUGAUUAGCUAGUUGGUGGGGUAACGGCCUACCAAGGCGAUGAUCAGUAGCCGGUCUGAGAGGAUGAACGGCCACAUUGGGACUGAGACACGGCCCAAACUCCUACGGGAGGCAGCAGUGGGGAAUAUUCCGCAAUGGACGAAAGUCUGACGGAGCAACGCCGCGUGAGUGAUGAAGGUUUUCGGACUGUAAAGCUCUGUUGUUCAGGACGAAAGUGCCUGUUGCGAACAGUUACAGGUAUUGACGGUACUGAACGAGGAAGCCACGGCUAACUACGUGCCAGCAGCCGCGGUAAUACGUAGGUGGCAAUCGUUGUCCGGAAUUAUUGGGCGUAAAGAGCAUGUAGGCGGGAAUCUAAGUCUGUUGUGAAAAUGCGGGGCUCAACCCCGUAUGGCGGUGGAAACUGGAUUUCUUGAGUGCAGGAGAGGAAAGGGGAAUUCCCAGUGUAGCGGUGAAAUGCGUAGAUAUUGGGGAGGAACACCAGUGGCGAAGGCGCCUUUCUGGACUGUGUCUGACGCUGAGAUGCGAAAGCCAGGGUAGCGAACGGGAUUAGAUACCCCGGUAGUCCUGGCCCGUAAACGAUGGGUACUAGGUGUAGGGGGUAUCGACCCCUCCUGUGCCGGAGUUAACGCAAUAAGUACCCCGCCUGGGGGAGGUACGGCCCGCAAGGUUGAAACUCAAAGGAAUU
Molecule: ribosomal RNA, 931 nt
Filed under: uncultured bacterium
Lineage: Bacteria
Description: bacterial SSU rRNA
Rfam family: Bacterial small subunit ribosomal RNA
Source: RNAcentral